Camellia sinensis is the source of this 908-nucleotide non-coding RNA. NCBI's taxonomy places the organism in Eukaryota, Viridiplantae, Streptophyta, Magnoliopsida, Ericales, Theaceae. The record is from RefSeq and is a predicted model, not a curated record.
UGGCUUUUUAGUGAUUUUUUGGCUUUUAGGCUAAAAUUGUUGUGGGGUGCCAAGCUAUUGUGUGUUUUGGCCCACAAACCACUUGGGGGUUGUGUGGUUAUUUCCAUAUGACAAGUGGUUUCUCAACAUAUAGGUCAAAUCAUAAGGGGGUAAAGUAAAAUUUACCCUAGAAAUUUUGUUGAACCUAAUGUAGUUUUUCUUGAAGAAGAUACAUGGAAUUAAUUUGUUGUAGUUUUACUUGUCAAUGCAAACAUUAGGUCUCCUUUUUAUUUUACUUUUUUUGCUAUCUCUUUGCCUCCAUCUUCAAGAGCACUGAGAUUUAUUUUUUUGGGGAUAGGGGUGAUUAUUUGAACAAUCAUGAUGUCGAUGUUAAUGCAAGAUUCAUGGAUGCAUAUCCUGCUGGAUCAGAUGAGUAGAGCAUUUGGAAGGGAAGGACAAAAAAGAAGGGUGUAGUCUCAUCAACAAAAAAGGUUAGUAGAAGCUGAGCAAAGCAUUAGUUGGAGAUUUAUACCAGCUUGGGGGUUAACUUGCUUUCAACCAUUAUCAGUGUCCAAGCUAUUUGUAUAAUUUUCUUGCAAUGUGUGUGUGUGUGUGUGUGUGUGUUUUUUUUUUUGUGCUACAGUUUUUUUCCAAUAAGGCUCGGAAGUUGAUUAGGCAAAAAUAGCAUGGACGUGAAUGAAGUUUGAGCAGGGUAUCGGCCCAACUAUUAGUCUUAAAAGUGGUUGGCAACUUUGGUUUGUCUUUGCUUUUUAUGUGUGGUGGUUUGCUUUUGUUUAUGUUGUGUUACUUGGUUCAUAAAAUAAUUCACUAGAUUUGUGAAGUUACCCUUUUCUUAUGACUGUUUUGAGAUCUAUUUGGGAUGCUCAACUUUCUAGUUUAAUAUUUUUAGAUAACAGUUUUGACUGUCA